RNAcentral lists this transfer RNA (82 nucleotides) under Trichoderma viride. RNAcentral describes it as "tRNA-Gly". The record is from RNAcentral. Lineage: Eukaryota; Fungi; Ascomycota; Sordariomycetes; Hypocreales; Hypocreaceae. RNAcentral also lists the same sequence under 2 other names.
GCGUCAUUGGUCUAGGGGUUAGGAUUCAACUCUUCCAUUCACAGGUCAAGUUGAGGCCCGGAUUCGAGUUCCGGAUGACGCA